AGAGCGAACGCUGGCGGCAGGCCUAACACAUGCAAGUCGAGCGCCCGUAGCAAUACGGGAGCGGCAGACGGGAUAGUAACACGUGGGAACGCGCCCUUGGUUCGGAAUAACUCAGGGAAACUUGAGCUAAUACCGGAUACGCCCUUACGGGGAAAGAUUUAUUGCCGAAGGAACGGCCCGCGUCCGAUUAGCUAGUUGGUGAGGUAAUGGCUCACCAAGGCGACGAUCGGUAGCUGGUCUGAGAGGAUGACCAGCAUCACUGGGACUGAGACACGGCCCAGACUCCUACGGGAGGCAGCAGUGGGGAAUAUUGGACAAUGGGCGCAAGCCUGAUCCAGCCAUGCCGCGUGGAUGAUGAAGGCCUUAGGGUUGUAAAGUCCUUUUAACGGGGAAGAUAAUGACGGUACCCGUAGAAUAAGCCCCGGCUAACUUCGUGCCAGCAGCCGC
Molecule: ribosomal RNA, 447 nt
Filed under: uncultured bacterium
Lineage: Bacteria
Description: SSU rRNA
Rfam family: Bacterial small subunit ribosomal RNA
Source: RNAcentral